AAAAAAGCCGGAAUAGCUCAG
Molecule: transfer RNA, 21 nt
Filed under: Sanionia uncinata
Lineage: Eukaryota; Viridiplantae; Streptophyta; Bryopsida; Hypnales; Amblystegiaceae
Description: partial tRNA-Phe
Source: RNAcentral